CCCCCCCUUUAUUACCCUUUGUGUCAUCCUCCACAGCUCCAGGGAAGGCACUCAAAAGUGGGGGGCAGGAAAGGGUCUCUGACUGAAGCAGAAGCCCAGAUUGGCUAGACUGGCUAGCCAGAUCUUGACUGUAUCUUCCUCUCCAGUGCUGAGAUUGAAAGCAAGCGCUGCCACAGGAGAACACUGGAGAUGUCCACGUCUGCCUUUGUAAGAUAGAUAUUGAAGGCUGUGUGGCUUAGAAAAUAUCUAUAGCAUUAGAUACUCAAGAACCAGGGAAAUAAUUACAAGAAAUCAAGAGCACAGAAUAUUUUCUUCCAUCAGUCCACAGAACCCUGAAACUCAACUAAUUCCAUCAAACACAGAAGAAGGCCCACCUUGACAGAUGGCCACAGAGGAUGUCAACAAUUUUUUGGA
Long non-coding RNA from Psammomys obesus (fat sand rat), 414 nucleotides. RefSeq lists it as uncharacterized. Lineage: Eukaryota; Metazoa; Chordata; Mammalia; Rodentia; Muridae. The record is from RefSeq and is a predicted model, not a curated record. The transcript is spliced from 4 exons.